This 1664-nucleotide ribosomal RNA is filed under the name metagenome. Its description in RNAcentral is "bacterial LSU rRNA". It matches the Rfam family "Bacterial large subunit ribosomal RNA", at positions 1283 to 2925 of the family's 2925-position model. The record is from RNAcentral.
CAGAAGUGCGAAUGCUGACGUGAGUAACGACAAGGGGGGUGAAAAACCUCCCCGCCGGAAGACCAAGGGUUCCUGCGCGACGUUAAUCGGCGCAGGGUGAGUCGGCCCCUAAGGCGAGGCAGAAAUGCGUAGUCGAUGGGAAACGGGUUAAAAUUCCCGUACCGCUCGUUAUUGCGAUGGAGGGACGGAGAAGGCUAGGUCAGCACGGCGUUGGUAGUCCGUGUUUAAGGUUGUAGGUGGAUCGCUUAGGUAAAUCCGGGCGGUUAACACUGAGAACUGAUGACGAGUGAUCCCUUGUGGAUCGCGAAGUGAUUGAUGCCAUGCUUCCAAGAAAAGCUUCUAAGCUUCAGAUAACGAGAGACCGUACCCCAAACCGACACAGGUGGUCAGGUAGAGAAUACCAAGGCGCUUGAGAGAACUCUGGUGAAGGAACUAGGCAAAAUAGCACCGUAACUUCGGGAGAAGGUGCGCUGCUGACGGUGAAGGCCUUGCGCCGUAAGCUGUUGGCAGCCGAAGUAACCAGGCCGCUGCGACUGUUUAUUAAAAACACAGCACUCUGCAACCACGAAAGUGGACGUAUAGGGUGUGACGCCUGCCCGGUGCCGGAAGGUUAAUUGAUGGGGUCAGCCGCAAGGCGAAGCUCUUGAUCGAAGCCCCGGUAAACGGCGGCCGUAACGAUAACGGUCCUAAGGUAGCGAAAUUCCUUGUCGGGUAAGUUCCGACCUGCACGAAUGGCGUAACGAUGGCGGCGCUGUCUCCACCAGGGACUCAGUGAAAUCGAAAUCGCGGUGAAGAUGCCGUGUACCCGUGGCUAGACGGAAAGACCCCGUGAACCUUUACUGUAGCUUCACACUGGACUUUGACAUGAUCUGUGUAGGAUAGCUGGGAGGCUUUGAAGUGGUGACGCCAGUUGCCAUGGAGCCGUCCUUGAAAUACCAGCCUGGUCCUGUCGGGGUUCUAACGUCGACCUGUUAUCCAGGUUACGGACAGUGUGUGGUGGGCAGUUUGACUGGGGCGGUCUCCUCCCAAAGAGUAACGGAGGAGCACGAAGGUGCGCUAAUCACGGUCGGAAAUCGUGAGGUUAGUGUAAAGGCACAAGCGCGCUUGACUGCGAGACAGACAAGUCGAGCAGGUACGAAAGUAGGUCUUAGUGAUCCGGUGGUUCUGUAUGGAAGGGCCAUCGCUCAACGGAUAAAAGGUACUCCGGGGAUAACAGGCUGAUACCGCCCAAGAGUUCAUAUCGACGGCGGUGUUUGGCACCUCGAUGUCGGCUCAUCACAUCCUGGGGCUGAAGCCGGUCCCAAGGGUAUGGCUGUUCGCCAUUUAAAGUGGUACGCGAGCUGGGUUUAGAACGUCGUGAGACAGUUCGGUCCCUAUCUGCCAUGGGCGUUGGAGAUUUGAGAAGAGUUGCUCCUAGUACGAGAGGACCGGAGUGAACGAACCUCUGGUGUACCGGUUGUCACGCCAGUGGCAUUGCCGGGUAGCUAAGUUCGGACGGGAUAACCGCUGAAAGCAUCUAAGCGGGAAGCCUCCUUCAAGAUGAGAUCUCCCUGGAGCUUUAAGCUCCCUAAAGGGCCGUCGAAGACUACGACGUUGAUAGGCGAGGUGUGGAAGCGUUGUGAGACGUUGAGCUGACUCGUACUAAUUGCCCGUGCGGCUUGACC